UUCUCAUCAAAGAGUGUUCUAUAGGGAAGAGAUAAAACCUAAACAGUCCCGGAAGCUGAGACAAGAAACUGAAAAAAAAAGGAAAGUGAGCAACAAGAUAAUGUAAGUCACAACUGAGCCAAUUAAGGAGCAGGAGAUGCAGCAGCAUGUCCCAAACAAAACUGAUUGGAGGUCAAGUGUGGACAACCAGAGCAAGUUCUUGCACAGCUAAUGUAUCCCCAGGUGUGAACUGAGUAACAUGAAGAAAGGCAUCCUCCUGCCACCUCCUGGCAUGAUUUUAGGCGUUUUGCAUGAACUCUAAUUCAUUGAAAUGUAACAACCUUAUAAGGUCCCUGCAGGACCAUGUCACCCAAAAUAAUGCAUCAGAUAUAAGGACUUGUCUUUUACUCAUUUACUUCUUGGACCUACUUAGAAAACUGUGGCAGCACUGUUUUGUUAUUAUUGUCUUAAGUGCAUGAUCCAACUUGGAAAGGUUCCAGGUGUGUCUUAGUUUUGAAGCUUCACAGCAGCUGAGUAGUAGUGUGUGGUGAGCAUAACAAAUACCUAAAACUUUCAGGAAGGUGAAUCCUUCUCUCUGACCGUGGGAACUAUGGUCUGAAGAUGAAUGCCAAUCGCAAGAUAAUUCAAAUAUUGAAAUUAUGAAACAAUGACUUCCAAAUCAGCUAUGAUAAUGUGAUCUACAAGCUAAGGUCUAAUAUCCUCAAAACAAAUGGAAAGACAGAACAUCUUAGCAGGGAAAUAAAAGAUUCAACUGGCUCAUGGUUUGUACCGGGGGAACCAAGCCCAUGGUUGGGAUCCAGGGGUCCCUCCAGUCUCCUGUUCCAUGGUCGCACACACCUUGAGGGCACCCACACGGUUUGAUCGUCUCCUUAUAUUGCUGCUGGCAGACUCGUGACGGGGUUUCUCAUUCAUCUGGGUGUACAAGAAGCAUGGUGCCAGCAUCUGCUCAGCUUCUGAUGAGGGCUCUGGGAAGCUUUUACUCAUGGAGGAAGGCAAGGGGAACCAGCAUGUCACAUGAUGAGAAAGGAAGCAUGAGAGAGAGGUGCCAGACUCUUCAACAACCAGAAGAGAAAGUCAGAGAGAAUCAAAGCAUGUGAAGAGAGACCUCACGCAAGGAGGUCUAGGAGCCUAGAGUGAUCUUCAGCCAACAGUCAAAAAGAUAACUGGGACAACCACAAGGAACUGACUUCUAUAAGAGAAAUGAGCCUGGAAAAGGACUCCAAGCUUCAGAUGAAAAUGUAGUUGGCUGACACUUUGAUUUUAGUCUUGUGAAACCCUAAGCAGAGAAUCCAAGUAAGUCCCCCUGAACUUCUCACCUAAAGAACAAUGAGUUAAUAAAUAAG
Molecule: long non-coding RNA, 1343 nt
Filed under: Homo sapiens (human)
Lineage: Eukaryota; Metazoa; Chordata; Mammalia; Primates; Hominidae
Description: HSALNT0351585
Source: RNAcentral